Molecule: ribosomal RNA, 290 nt
Filed under: Escherichia coli
Lineage: Bacteria; Pseudomonadati; Pseudomonadota; Gammaproteobacteria; Enterobacterales; Enterobacteriaceae
Description: partial 16S ribosomal RNA
Rfam family: Bacterial small subunit ribosomal RNA
Source: RNAcentral
UUAAAUUGAAGAGUUUGAUCAUGGCUCAGAUUGAACGCUGGCGGCAGGCCUAACACAUGCAAGUCGAACGGUAACAGGAAGCAGCUUGCUGCUUUGCUGACGAGUGGCGGACGGGUGAGUAAUGUCUGGGAAACUGCCUGAUGGAGGGGGAUAACUACUGGAAACGGUAGCUAAUACCGCAUAACGUCGCAAGACCAAAGAGGGGGACCUUCGGGCCUCUUGCCAUCGGAUGUGCCCAGAUGGGAUUAGCUAGUAGGUGGGGUAACGGCUCACCUAGGCGACGAUCCCUA